CCUACGGGAGGCAGCAGUGAGGAAUAUUGGUCAAUGGGCGCGAGCCUGAACCAGCCAAGUCGCGUGAAGGAUGACUGCCCUACGGGUUGUAAACCUCUUUUAUAAGGGAGCAAAGAGAGGGACGCGUCCCGUUUUGAGUGUACCUGAAGAAUAAGCCUCGGCUAACUCCGUUCCAGCAGCCGCGGUAAUACGGAGGAUCCGAGCGUUAUCCGGAUUUAUUGGGUUUAAAGGGAGCGUAGGUGGGUGGUUAAGUCAGUUGUGAAAGUCGGGGGCUCAACCGUCAGAUUGCAGUUGAUACUGGCAGUCUUGAGUACAGGAGAGGUAGGCGGAAGUCGUGGUGUAGCGGUGAAAUGCAUAGAUAUCACGAAGAACUCCGAUUGCGAAGGCAGCUUA
This 393-nucleotide ribosomal RNA is filed under the name uncultured bacterium. RNAcentral describes it as "partial 16S ribosomal RNA". It matches the Rfam family "Bacterial small subunit ribosomal RNA", at positions 338 to 728 of the family's 1533-position model. The record is from RNAcentral.